RNAcentral lists this ribosomal RNA (464 nucleotides) under uncultured bacterium. RNAcentral's name for it is "partial 16S ribosomal RNA". It matches the Rfam family "Bacterial small subunit ribosomal RNA", at positions 28 to 506 of the family's 1533-position model. The record is from RNAcentral.
GACGAACGCUGGCGGCGUGCUUAACACAUGCAAGUCGAACGGAAAGGCCCUGCUUGCAGGGUACUCGAGUGGCGAACGGGUGAGUAACACGUGGGUGAUCUGCCCUGCACUUCGGGAUAAGCCUGGGAAACUGGGUCUAAUACCGGAUAGGAGCCAUUUUUAGUGUGAUGGUUGGAAAGUUUUUUCGGUGUAGGAUGAGCUCGCGGCCUAUCAGCUUGCUGGUGGGGUAAUGGCCUACCAAGGCGGCGACGGGUAGCCGGCCUGAGAGGGUGGACGGCCACAUUGGGACUGAGAUACGGCCCAGACUCCUACGGGAGGCAGCAGUGGGGAAUAUUGCACAAUGGGCGCAAGCCUGAUGCAGCGACGCCGCGUGGGGGAUGACGGCCUUCGGGUUGUAAACUCCUUUCGCUAGGGACGAAGCUUUUUGUGACGGUACCUAGAUAAGAAGCACCGGCUAACUACGU